Molecule: long non-coding RNA, 2938 nt
Organism: Caretta caretta (loggerhead turtle)
Lineage: Eukaryota; Metazoa; Chordata; Testudines; Cheloniidae
Source: RefSeq, a predicted model, not a curated record
AUUUGCAAUAAAAAGCAAGAUCUCAUUGGCCAGAAUAAAGAGCCCCCCCACCCGGGCACUCCGCCCAGCUGCCUCCCCAACGGGCUAUAAAAGCCCACAGCCAGAUGCAGGGCAGCUUUCCUGGACCCCGGGCUUGCACAGGUGACCUAAGGGACAGAAAUGCAGCUGCCAUGAACGUUUCGAGGUCCAGCGACAGUCUUUACAAAAAGUAAAUAGGGGAAGUGGUGAGAAAAUGAUCGAGCUGAAACUAGAAGGGACGCUGGAGAAGUAGAAGGUAAUUAGCUGAAUUGGGAUCUGGCUGGGACUCAGGGGCUCGCCCGGUGCAAGGAGAGAGUGAAAAUGUGGGCUGUGUUUUGCCGAAUAUGCCUAACCAGUCAAGCCAACUGUCGGCAUGAAGGUGCUUUCCAGACCUGGACACAGAUACUUCCCCCAUUAUGGGGAGAUUUGCAGUGACACAAUGGUUUGUUUUCUGUUAGCGCAAGCAGAGAGAUGGGAAGUGAAUGAGACAGCUGCUCCAAAGAGACAAACUGACCGUUCCUGACAAGGAUGCUACACUCUGACUAACUAGAGCUCAGACGCACGCAUAAUCCUCAGGAAAAUUCAUCUUGGAACUCCCAAUGCACCGUGACAAGGGCCCUUGAAGGGGUAAUUAAAAUGCAUUGAGUGGCGACUGCACCUGUUUAGAAGGGAGUAUGCUGCACAGAUGUUUCUAGAGGCUGCGACUGCCCUAAGAUGAUGAAUGGAAGGUGCCAGACGCCUUUGGUGGAGCAGCUGGAGUAAGGCUUUGGUGUAAGUACCCAGUUGUGGGCCCGAAGGAGCCUGUAGGGUGCUCCCCUAGAUGCCACCUGCCUCUCGUCGGAAGGGCGUUAUGACGGAGUAUAAAUUAAUGGACACUUCAGAUUAAAGUGUCAGUGCAUCUGAUCACUAUAGCAACAUGAAGAGGCAGGGAGGAGAGGAAAUGUGUUUCCCCCAAUGUCUUUACCUUGAAAUUGCAACUCAUCCAGGCUUUUAAGUACCCCAGCUUUCCCGUGUGGAUGCUCACGCACAAGGACACGUGUUCACAGAGAAUAUUCUCACAUGUAUGCACACGCAUCCAGGCAUGCCCACACAGACCAUGCUGUCACACAUCUGCUCGUGUACGUACAGACGUGCACGCAGAUGGAGACUCCCCAACCCUUAAGGGAAUACAGUGACCCCAUCCCACACCUGCGCACACUGACUUCCGGCAUGUAUUCACUCGUGCACACACAGACGCUAAUGCACCCCCACUGUUCUCAGACAUAUACAAACACAGGUGCACAGGCACAUGCAUUCUCUCCUGUGUGCACAAGAGACAUGGGAACACUCACAUAAACACCCCUACACAGCCACUGUAUCCUGCACACCCACGUUCAGCCCAGAACUGUACUUGUGCACGCCAACCCAUGCCAAGGAUGCAUGGACACUCGUGCUCACUUACAAACAUCCACGUACUCUUGCGCACUAAGCCACUCAGAACUUUGGCACCUGCCACACACAAAUCCUGCUGUCUCACAUGCGCAAUCACCACCUCACGUGGGAGUUAAGGCACAGACCCCCCUCCCCCCCAGCCCUGAUUCUCAGAGAUGUGGAGCACCUGCUGCCCCCACUGACUUGAGGUGAAAAUCCAGCUAAUGCUGUUUGUUAUGCAAAAAGCAGUUUCUUAGCAACUAAAAUCAUAUUCUCUGUAAAGGCAACACCCGUUAGCAGGAUAAUCCCAGGUAAUUCCAGACAAGACAAAACAAAAUCAGGCUAAUGGGGGCAGCUAUAAAUAAAACAGAACGAGUAAAAUUCACCCCUGUGCAGAUGCCCAGCACGAGGCAUCUGAGCCCUCAAAAUAGGUCUCAUUAACUGUGCUGGCCCUCUGAGCAGGGCUGAAUCUCACCCAUACAUGAGCAUCCUGCAGAUGCUCAUGUAUGGGUGAGAUUUAAUUUAAUUGCUUUGCUCUCAUUUGGUUUGACAGUAUUUUUGACCCAGAUCCUCAAAGGUACUUAAGCAUCUAACUCCCACGGAUUUCAAAUGGGCCAAUUAAGAUGGUGGUUUCUGAGUUGUGGACACUUGCCCAUUAGGACUGAGACCCAGCAACUCACUUCAGAGAGGCCGUCAGAGAGUAGGGAGCUGAGGUCACUAUGCACCUGGGCUGAACUUAAACGCCUUGAACUUCAACUUCUGCAGAUGAAACGCCCUUUGGCCAAUCUCCUUAAUCGCCCAGUCCACUGGGGUGGCAGCUGGUUACCUACUUGUGAUCCAUUCUGCCACUCAUCAGCAAUGCAGCCAGGACAAAGUCGUGGAAAUGAAUGGUUCAGUUGAGGAAGGCCAGCCUGCUUUUAUAACAUUAAUGAAACACUCUAAGAGAACUUUACAAGCAGGGAAUUGUGCCUCUGCACAAAGAAUACAAGUUGGGGAUGAUCUCUGCUGUCACCCAUGUGCUUCUCUGUUCACCAGAGACUGAGAAGAUCUUCAGAGGCCAAGCUCGCAGUGCCCAAUUCAACCCUGGUGCAAGCAGGUGCAGCUAUGCUGAAGUCAGUGCAGUUGUAGCUACUUUCACCAAGGGCUGAAUUAUGUAUUCCUGACUCCAGUCACACAAUAUAAGUCAGGGUUACAAAAGAUUAUGCUUCUUGUCUCGUGGCAGGAGUCAGCACACACUGGUCCCAGUGGCUACUGUUACACACAUUCUGAUGUUUAUUAUCUCUAGACCACAUUGUCCCAGCGAGGAGUUCAUGGGACCCUCCUGAAAAACAAAAAAGUGUCAUAGAUCUAUUACAGCUGCUGCAUUUACAUUUGUAAAAUAUACCGAGUUAGGGCUGUGCAAAGCACAGCUGUGUUUUUGUGAUGUUGCUCCUUGUAACUACUGUAUUUGGAGUUUAACCAGUUCAAGACAUUUUUAAAAAUAAAGAUAUCGGAUUCAAUUUAUACAUAU